Molecule: ribosomal RNA, 122 nt
Filed under: Helotiales sp.
Lineage: Eukaryota; Fungi; Ascomycota; Leotiomycetes; Helotiales
Description: partial 5.8S ribosomal RNA
Rfam family: 5.8S ribosomal RNA
About the family: 5.8S ribosomal RNA (5.8S rRNA) is a component of the large subunit of the eukaryotic ribosome. It is transcribed by RNA polymerase I as part of the 45S precursor that also contains 18S and 28S rRNA.
Source: RNAcentral
AAACUUUCAACAACGGAUCUCUUGGUUCUGGCAUCGAUGAAGAACGCAGCGAAAUGCGAUAAGUAAUGUGAAUUGCAGAAUUCAGUGAAUCAUCGAAUCUUUGAACGCACAUUGCGCCCUCU